Molecule: ribosomal RNA, 466 nt
Filed under: uncultured bacterium
Lineage: Bacteria
Description: bacterial SSU rRNA
Rfam family: Bacterial small subunit ribosomal RNA
Source: RNAcentral
UAGGGAAUAUUGGUCAAUGGGUGAGAGCCUGAACCAGCCAUGCCGCGUGCAGGAAGAAGGCCUUCUGGGUUGUAAACUGCUUUUGCCGGGGGAUAAAAUGGCUUUGCGAAGCUAAUUGAAGGUACCCGGUGAAUAAGCCACGGCUAACUACGUGCCAGCAGCCGCGGUAAUACGUAGGUGGCAAGCGUUGUCCGGAUUUAUUGGGUUUAAAGGGUGCGUAGGCGGUUCUAUAAGUCAGUGGUGAAAUACUCCGGCUCAACCGGAGAGGUGCCAUUGAUACUGCAGAACUUGAGUACAGACGAGGUAGGCGGAAUUGACGGUGUAGCGGUGAAAUGCUUAGAUAUCGUCAAGAACACCGAUAGCGAAGGCAGCUUACUAGACUGUAACUGACGCUGAGGCACGAAAGUGUGGGGAUCAAACAGGAUUAGAUACCCCAGUAGUCCCUGAGCGGGCUGGCAAGGCGCAU